GGGAGCCGCAAUCGAUGACGAGGCGAUGAACUCCAAGCCAGCGACGGCGAUUUGAUUGGUGGCCAGCGUUAAUGCCUCUGCGUUUCUUCAUGCUUCUCUGCUGCAGGAGGGCUAUUGUUAGCAAAUGUGGUGGCAGUAACAUUCUGUGUAAUUUUGGCAGCGUCACUGGUACAAAGACUUGGUUCAAUUCCCAUGGCUGCAUUUUAAGCUUGCCCUGCUGUUGCUUUACAGGAGUUGAUUUGAAGAAAGCAGAGUGAUUUUUGGUCGAGUUAUAACAUGAAUGAUCAUGGUCAACAUCAAGGACCUAUAAAGAGGAGUGGGAUGGAUGGGAGGCAUAAUAUGUCAUGUGAUUGCAUAUGACGAGAGACGGAUAGGUUCAGUGGAGGUGGAUUCACUCAUGAUUUAGGGUUCUUUCUUACUCACUUGAUCUAUAUUGUUGAGAGUUAUGGCUCUGAUACCAUAAGGAGGAGUCUUCUCAAAUCUCUGAGACUCAGUAUAGAGAAUUACAGGUUAUGUUAUCAUUUUAUUUGUUAUAAUGUACUACUUUUCUAGCUUAUUAUCCUAUUUGUACAUGUUUUAAAUUCAUCUUUGAUUACAAAAACUUUAUUAUCUUGCCCAUCAUUUCUCACUCUUUUUCAAAAGAGGCAAAAGGAAGCAAGUAGAAUACUUGUUGC
Molecule: long non-coding RNA, 674 nt
Organism: Neltuma alba
Lineage: Eukaryota; Viridiplantae; Streptophyta; Magnoliopsida; Fabales; Fabaceae
Exons: 3
Source: RefSeq, a predicted model, not a curated record